GGCCUGUUGGUGUAGUGGUAGCACAUCUGCUUUACAUUGCAUGAUGAACUGGUAUCAGUGGGAGAUCCUUGUUCGACUCGAGGUCAGGCCA
Non-coding RNA from Mycena latifolia, 91 nucleotides. The record is from the annotation of a GenBank genome assembly. Lineage: Eukaryota; Fungi; Basidiomycota; Agaricomycetes; Agaricales; Mycenaceae.